Molecule: ribosomal RNA, 253 nt
Filed under: uncultured bacterium
Lineage: Bacteria
Description: partial 16S ribosomal RNA
Rfam family: Bacterial small subunit ribosomal RNA
Source: RNAcentral
UACGUAGGUGGCAAGCGUUAUCCGGAAUUACUGGGCGUAAAGCGCACGCAGGCGGUCUUGUAAGUUUGGCGUGAAAGCUCCCGGCUUAACUGGGAGAGGUCGCUGAAGACUGCAAGACUUGAGGAAAUGAGAGGGGUGUAGAAUUCCUGGUGUAGCGGUGAAAUGCGUAGAUAUCAGGAGGAAUACCGGUGGCGAAAGCGACUCUCUGGACGGCAACUGACGCUGAGGCACGAAAGCGUGGGGAGCAAACAGG